Molecule: ribosomal RNA, 253 nt
Filed under: uncultured bacterium
Lineage: Bacteria
Description: partial 16S ribosomal RNA
Rfam family: Bacterial small subunit ribosomal RNA
Source: RNAcentral
UACGAAGGGGGCUAGCGUUGCUCGGAAUCACUGGGCGUAAAGCGCACGUAGGCGGACUCUUAAGUCGGGGGUGAAAUCCUGAAGCUCAACUCCAGAACUGCCUUCGAUACUGGGAGUCUUGAGUUCGGGAGAGGUGAGUGGAACUGCGAGUGUAGAGGUGAAAUUCGUAGAUAUUCGCAAGAACACCAGUGGCGAAGGCGGCUCACUGGCCCGAUACUGACGCUGAGGUGCGAAAGCGUGGGGAGCAAACAGG